CGACGUGGAGAACCUGCCGUAUACUGGGGGAUAACACUUAGAAAUAGGUGCUAAUACCGCAUAAGCGCACAGCUUCGCAUGAAGCAGUGUGGAAAACAAAAAGCUAAAGCUUUUGGUGGUAUACGAUGGAUCCGCGUCUGAUUAGCUUGUUGGCGGGGUAAAGGCCCACCAAGGCGACGAUCAGUAGCCGGCCUGAGAGGGUGAACGGCCACAUUGGGACUGAGACACGGCCCAAACUCCUACGGAAGGCAGCAG
RNAcentral lists this ribosomal RNA (255 nucleotides) under uncultured bacterium. Its description in RNAcentral is "partial 16S ribosomal RNA". It matches the Rfam family "Bacterial small subunit ribosomal RNA", at positions 113 to 354 of the family's 1533-position model. The record is from RNAcentral.